Molecule: long non-coding RNA, 1860 nt
Organism: Canis lupus familiaris (dog)
Lineage: Eukaryota; Metazoa; Chordata; Mammalia; Carnivora; Canidae
Exons: 3
Source: RefSeq, a predicted model, not a curated record
CCAUUUAUCCAUCCUCCAUCCACCUACACAUCCAUCCACCUAUAUCCCUCCUCCAUCCAUCCAUCCAUCCAUCCUCCAUCCACCCACCCAUCUAUCUACCCCCUCAUCCAUCCACUCAUCCCUCCCUCUAAUGCUUGUGUUUACUCUGUCAUAGGUGAGGUUACCAGGCAAAGGCAAACCCAGUCCCUGGUCUUGACCUUUUUGCAGAUCUCUAGCCCUAGAACUGUGUGCUGACUUUCCUCAAUCUUUGUUGCCUUGUUGGUAGGGGAAGCAGAGGUGAUGACAGGCGGCAACCACACAGUGUGGAAACUGGGUUGGAUAGAGGGAAGAAGGACAGGGCUGUGGGAGCCCAGGGUCCAGGCCUGGAGGUCAUACAAGAUCAAGAGGGGACACAUGAGAUGAAUCUAGAAGCAUCUGAAGGAGGUACAGCCAGGGCAAGGGGGUGGGGAGGAUUAUAAGGAGUUGAGUCAAGCUGGGCCAGGGCCAAGUGUGUGCUGUGGAGGCUGGAGGAGUCACAGGUGCCAGAUCUGGGCCAGCCUGGGGAGCCAGGGUGUGGGAGUGGGGGCAGCUCUGGGGCCAGGGUCUGGCUGGGUUUGACACUUUGGCCUUUCACUCAGGCCCUCUGUGCAGGCUGAGGUCAGUUAAGAAACACACGCCCAUCCUCCCCUCCAUCUAUCCAUCCAUCCACACACCCACCCAUCUACCAUCCUCCAUCCACCCACUCACUUAUCCAUCCAUCUAGAAAGGACGCUAAACACACCCAUUUCCUGGUCCCCUGAGAGUGCCCUGUGGGGUGAGGCAGAGAAGGAACCCUCACGGAGGGUCCUCUGCCCUGGUCCCUGCUGCCCUGCCCUGGGUCGCCGGCCUCGAGGACCCCCACUCAAACCCCCCUUGUUCCCAGGGAGCUCCCUUCUCACAUCACAGCAGGCUGAACCCAGCUAAGGCCCCCGGUUCGAGGGCAUCAUUUUGCAGAGACAAAGGAAAGAGCGCGAGGGGGGCUGGAGCAAACCGGCCUCCAGAAGGACUGUCUGGAAAGGGCCGGGGGCCGAGGGGGAAGAAGGGACGUAGCUGCCGACGGGCGGAGGGCUCCAGUCCUGCUGUGGUCACCUCAGAGACGGCGGCUAAGUGCCUCACAAACCCGGCGUCCUGAGACUUGACUCCUGGCUGUGUGACCCCAGGUCUCAAAUCCCGCUGGUGGCGACCUUCCAGUUGGCGCUGGGGAGGAGCGAUUUCGGCCACCUGCUCAGACGGCAGCUUUGGGGUGACAAGCUGUUGUCAGAAGCUUCUAACAAGCCUGGGGUGUCAGCCGGCCAAAGGACCACCUGGACGGGGCUGGGAUAACCGGGUCCCUCUCAAAGGCUCCCAAGUGGCACGCAGGUGUACCUCCCCCCGCGUUGAACCCGAGGAUGCUGGGUGCAGACAGGAGAUCAUGCUCGGCCGUCAGCGGGGAACUGGAGCGUCGGAUCUGUCUUAAACGCAGGGCCCCAGACAGCUGGGCAUUACGACUCCAGGCACGUGGGUGCUCCUGUUGAUUUACUGAACGCGUCUGGACUCUUCCCCACGCUCUGCAGAGAUUUGAAGGGGUCAAAGAACAAGUUUGUCUUGUUAUAGGCAAACCCCCCCCCCACACACACACACAAAAACAACCCAAUAAACAAGAUCCAACGCACACAUGAUUUCUGGAGUCAGAAGGGACCCACCGUUUGUGGCUUUACUAGCCGUGCGUCCUGGGGCAAGUUAUUCGCCCCCCGGGGCCUCGGUUUUCUCGUCUGUACAAUGGGUGCAUGCAGAGCCUUCAUGGUGAGGGUCUAGAGAGGGUGAAAUUAGGUCGUGGGAUAAUAAAAUACCUUUGCUGUUCAA